Molecule: ribosomal RNA, 495 nt
Filed under: uncultured bacterium
Lineage: Bacteria
Description: partial 16S ribosomal RNA
Rfam family: Bacterial small subunit ribosomal RNA
Source: RNAcentral
UGAACGCUGGCGGCGUGCCUACUACAUGCAAGUCGAGCGAACAGAUGAGGAGCUUGCUCCUCUGACGUUAGCGGCGGACGGGUGAGUAACACGUGGAUAACCUACCUAUAAGACUGGGAUAACUUCGGGAAACCGGAGCUAAUACCGGAUAAUAUAUUGAACCGCAUGGUUCAAUAGUGAAAGACGGUUUUGCUGUCACUUAUAGAUGUAUCCGCGCCGCAUUAGCUAGUUGGUAAGGUAACGGCUUACCAAGGCAACGAUGCGUAGCCGACCUGAGAGGGUGAUCGGCCACACUGGAACUGAGACACGGUCCAGACUCCUACGGGAGGCAGCAGUAGGGAAUCUUCCGCAAUGGGCGAAAGCCUGACGGAGCAACGCCGCGUGAGUGAUGAAGGUCUUCGGAUCGUAAAACUCUGUUAUUAGGGAAGAACAAAUGUGUAAGUAACUAUGCACGUCUUGACGGUACCUAAUCAGAAAGCCACGGCUAACUACGUG